Molecule: long non-coding RNA, 682 nt
Organism: Drosophila mauritiana
Lineage: Eukaryota; Metazoa; Arthropoda; Insecta; Diptera; Drosophilidae
Exons: 7
Source: RefSeq, a predicted model, not a curated record
CGCAACGAUUGGGGCCAUGGAAAUGGAUGUAAAGUUAAAUUUUAGGUGCCUAGGCUGGACGAUAUUUGGAGAUAUGUUUUUCAGGUAGGCUAUUCUGAAGGUACAUUUGUAGCAGCUAAUAUUAAGGCCGUCGUAGCUGGGAUGCCGUGGUUUUGGGUUCUUCAAGUUUGCGAUUAAUCUUGAGAUACAUUUGUAGCAGCUAAUAUUAAGGCCGUCGUAGCUGGGAUGCCGUGGUUUUGAGUUCUUCAAGUUGACAAUUAGAUAAGUAUUAAGUUUACACAUAUAUUUCCCUGGAAGGAAGUUUGUAAGAGCAGCAAAGUAUCCUGAUCGACGCGGAGGCAGCUUAGAUGGCCCGUAUUUUGCGGUGCAGCGAUGUGUGAAGAUUGCAGCGGUGUUGAAGGAUUAUUCAAAGGACUGUGCGGCAAGAAAAUUCAGGAUUUGAUUUUAUUCGCAUCGCAUCGUCAGGGUCAGCUGGAGUGCAUUGUCGUUGGCUUUUUAAUCCGGAUGCGUUGAGGAUUUUACGUUUAGCAUGAAGGAGGGAUGCUAACUAUGGAGAAGAAGAUAUGUAUCACUGUUGUCAAGAGAGAAGCAGGUCGACGUGCGUCUUUCCGUCUGUCACAGUUUGUAGUUUGUAUAUUAAUUAAUUAGGAAUUAAUUAAUAUACAUGUAUUUUUGGUUUUAA